GACGAACGCUGGCGGCGUGCUUAACACAUGCAAGUCGAACGCUGAAGCCCAGCUUGCUGGGUGGAUGAGUGGCGAACGGGUGAGUAACACGUGAGUAACCUGCCCCCUUCUUUGGGAUAACGCCCGGAAACGGGUGCUAAUACUGGAUAUUCACUGGCCUUCGCAUGGGGGUUGGUGGAAAGGUUUUUUCUGGUGGGGGAUGGGCUCGCGGCCUAUCAGCUUGUUGGUGGGGUGAUGGCCUACCAAGGCUUUGACGGGUAGCCGGCCUGAGAGGGUGACUGGUCACAUUGGGACUGAGAUACGGCCCAGACUCCUACGGGAGGCAGCAGUGGGGAAUAUUGCACAAUGGGCGAAAGCCUGAUGCAGCGACGCCGCGUGAGGGAUGACGGCCUUCGGGUUGUAAACCUCUUUCGCUCAUGGUCAAGCCGCAACACUUGGUUGUGGUGAGGGUAGUGGGUAAAGAAGCGCCGGCUAACUACGUGCCAGCAGCCGCGGUAAUACGUAGGGCGCGAGCGUUGUCCGGAAUUAUUGGGCGUAAAGGGCUUGUAGGCGGUUGGUCGCGUCUGCCGUGAAAUCCUCUGGCUUAACUGGGGGCGUGCGGUGGGUACGGGCUGACUUGAGUGCGGUAGGGGAGACUGGAACUCCUGGUGUAGCGGUGGAAUGCGCAGAUAUCAGGAAGAACACCGGUGGCGAAGGCGGGUCUCUGGGCCGUUACUGACGCUGAGGAGCGAAAGCGUGGGGAGCGAACAGG
This 751-nucleotide ribosomal RNA is filed under the name uncultured Actinomyces sp. Its description in RNAcentral is "bacterial SSU rRNA". It matches the Rfam family "Bacterial small subunit ribosomal RNA", at positions 28 to 776 of the family's 1533-position model. Lineage: Bacteria; Bacillati; Actinomycetota; Actinomycetes; Actinomycetales; Actinomycetaceae. The record is from RNAcentral.